UAAACACAUGAGACAAAGUAGUGAUGCCGGCAUACUCCUGUUAGAAGUCGGCUUAUGAGUGCCGGUUUAUUUACGUAUGCCGGCCCAGCUUCUGCCUAAUUGGUUAUUAUGUGUCUUCAUGACCCUAUCCGGAGUCAUUCCCCCGACAGCGGCCCAGCCAUCUAGCAGCAAUACUACAGUUCUCUUCAGGAUAAGCACCUCAUUACAAUUCCCUUGUUUUUAAUUUGUUCUUCAGGUUUUGGAUGCGCUGUUGGGCACUGUAAUAGCCAGUUUAGAAAUGUCCAGAUGAAGUUUACAUUACUGGACAAUUCAAAUGUUUUGGCUUGCUAUAUAGUGGUAUAACUGAUAAGAAUGUUCUAGACCAAAUUAACGUUGUACGUAUGUAUAUUUUUUUGAAGCACUAUUCUACAAUAGCUGUUUUCAUUUCAGUACUGCAAUCUCUUUUGUUUUGUUUUUCUUUUCGGUUUUGCUAGGUCUCAGUCGAUUGAGAAUUGAAUUUCUCAGUCAACGAGCCGAACCAAUCGAUCGAUCUUCCCCUAGCUCGGGGCUUUCCGAUGGAUUUUCUCGUGGGCUUCAGGUGAAUAGGUUGCUCGUGGCCUUGUGGGUUUUUGUAUGGUUAGGAUUAAGACUUUUGCGUUGGUCUGAGUAUGGGUUUUUUUAUGUGUGUAUCUGCAGUUUUUAGAAUCAUGCACAAACUUUCACCUGCAAAUUUAAGAAUCGCGCAUAAAUUUUCACCUGGAAUUUUUUUAGAAUCGCAUAAAGUUUCAUCUUUUAUUUUUUUAGAAUCGCGCAUAAACUUUCACCUUCUAUUUUUUUUGGAAAACUACAUGCAAAUUUUAGAAUGGCGCGUAAACUUUCACCUGCAAAUUUUAGAAUCUCACAUAAAUUUUCACCUGCAAUUUUUAGAAUCGCGCAUAAAAUUUUACCUGCAAUUUCUGGAAUCGCGCAUAAAAUUUCACCUACAAUUUUUAGAAUCGCACAUAAAUUUUCACCUGCAAUUUUAAAAUCGUGCAUAAAGUUUUACCUGCAAUUUUUAAAAUUUGAUUGUUAUUAUUUUGUUGCCUUUUUCCUUUCUCCGUGGCGUUGGUUGUGUUGUGCAAGUGUGCUUUCGUCAGGAUCUGUAAUUUUUCAAUUUUUAAUUUUUUUAGCACCGUUUUAAAAUUUGUAGAGCAUAUAAGUGAGGACUGGAUUUAUGUUACUAUAACGACGAAUGCUUUUUAUUGUGAUCUCAAACUCCGAAGAAACACACACCCGCGUGCGCAGGCACGCAUGUACCAAUUGGGACGUCACAUACACACAAGGGAAAUGAGAAGAGAAGAUCAAUCAUUAUCUAGUGUGCUCUAUUGUGUGCAAGCAGAAGCAGUACAAAGGUAAAAAAGAAAACCGCUCAAAUCGAUCGAAGUUGACUAGCUCCCUAGACACACCCCUUUUCAUUUCUAAUCUUGUCAUUGGUUCUUGCCAGGUUGUGUGCCAUAAUCUUGGCAUUGAUUUGGCCCAUUGAUGCAAAUAAGCCUCACUACCGUACAUUUUAGGGUUUGCCUUAAAGUUAGUAUUUGGAGAAUCAUGUCCAUUGAUAAAUAGGGUUACACAUGCACAAUAUUACCAAGAUGGUGAUAAGUCGAACUGACUAGUGCUUCACCUCUAGCGAGCUGUUCGUUCAGAUCAUCUUGAUUGAUUCUUUGGUUCAACAAAUCAAAGAUCUCAGCCUCUCUUUUUUUCAAUUAUUAGGGU
This 1731-nucleotide long non-coding RNA is filed under the name Brachypodium distachyon (stiff brome). RNAcentral's name for it is "long non-coding RNA (BDIS_LNC005513)". The record is from RNAcentral. Lineage: Eukaryota; Viridiplantae; Streptophyta; Magnoliopsida; Poales; Poaceae.